UCCUACGGGGGGCAGCAGUGGGGAAUAUUGCACAAUGGGGGGAACCCUGAUGCAGCAACGCCGCGUGAGUGAAGAAGUAUUUCGGUAUGUAAAGCUUUGUCAGCAGGGAAGAAAGAAAUGACGGUACCUGACCAAGAAGCCCCGGCUAACUACGUGCCAGCAGCCGCGGUAAUACGUAGGGGGCAAGCGUUAUCCGGAAUUACUGGGUGUAAAGGGAGCGUAGACGGUUAAGUAAGUCUGGAGUGAAAGGCCGGGGCCCA
This 260-nucleotide ribosomal RNA is filed under the name uncultured bacterium. RNAcentral's name for it is "partial 16S ribosomal RNA". It matches the Rfam family "Bacterial small subunit ribosomal RNA", at positions 337 to 611 of the family's 1533-position model. The record is from RNAcentral.